UACGUAGGGUGCAAGCGUUAAUCGGAAUUACUGGGCGUAAAGCGUGCGCAGGCGGUUGUGUAAGACAGAUGUGAAAUCCCCGGGCUCAACCUGGGAACUGCAUUUGUGACUGCACAGCUGGAGUGCGGCAGAGGGGGAUGGAAUUCCGCGUGUAGCAGUGAAAUGCGUAGAUAUGCGGAGGAACACCGAUGGCGAAGGCAAUCCCCUGGGCCUGCACUGACGCUCAGGCACGAAAGCGUGGGGAGCAAACAGG
This 253-nucleotide ribosomal RNA is filed under the name uncultured bacterium. Its description in RNAcentral is "partial 16S ribosomal RNA". It matches the Rfam family "Bacterial small subunit ribosomal RNA", at positions 524 to 776 of the family's 1533-position model. The record is from RNAcentral.